GAACGCUGGCGGCAUGCCUUACACAUGCAAGUCGAACGGCAGGCACGGGAGCAAUCCUGGUGGCGAGUGGCGAACGGGUGAGUAAUAUAUCGGAACGUGCCCGGUCGUGGGGGAUAACGUAGCGAAAGCUACGCUAAUACCGCAUACGAUCUAUGGAUGAAAGCGGGGGAUCGCAAGACCUCGCGCGAUUGGAGCGGCCGAUAUCAGAUUAGGUAGUUGGUGAGGUAAAGGCUCACCAAGCCGACGAUCUGUAGCUGGUCUGAGAGGACGACCAGCCACACUGGGACUGAGACACGGCCCAGACUCCUACGGGAGGCAGCAGUGGGGAAUUUUGGACAAUGGGCGCAAGCCUGAUCCAGCAAUGCCGCGUGCAGGAUGAAGGCCUUCGGGUUGUAACUGCUUUGUACGGAACGAAACGGUGAGCUCUAAUACAGUUUGCUAAUGACGGUACCGUAAGAAUAAGCACCGGCUAACUACGUG
This 480-nucleotide ribosomal RNA is filed under the name uncultured bacterium. Its description in RNAcentral is "bacterial SSU rRNA". It matches the Rfam family "Bacterial small subunit ribosomal RNA", at positions 31 to 507 of the family's 1533-position model. The record is from RNAcentral.